AGAGUUUGAUUAUGGCUCAGGAUGAACGCUAGCGGCAGGCUUAACACAUGCAAGUCGAGGGGCAGCGGGAUGUAGCAAUACAUUGCCGGCGACCGGCGGAUGGGUGCGUAACGCGUAUGCAACCUACCUUAUACAGGGGAAUAACCUUUCGAAAGGGAGACUAACACCCCAUGGUAUUGAUUUAAGGCAUCUUAGAUUAAUUAAAUAUUUAUAGGUAUAAGAUGGGCAUGCGUAUGAUUAGCUAGUUGGUAAGGUAACGGCUUACCAAGGCGACGAUCAUUAGGGGUUCUGAGAGGAAGGUCCCCCACACUGGUACUGAGACACGGACCAGACUCCUACGGGAGGCAGCAGUGAGGAAUAUUGGUCAAUGGGCGCAAGCCUGAACCAGCCAUGCCGCGUGCAAGGAAGACGGCCUUAUGGGUUGUAAACUGCUUUUACAUAAGACUAACCGUAUAUUUGCGAAUAUACCUGAAUGUAUUAUGAGAAUAAGGAUCGGCUAACUCCGUGCCAGCCGCGGC
Molecule: ribosomal RNA, 518 nt
Filed under: uncultured bacterium
Lineage: Bacteria
Description: bacterial SSU rRNA
Rfam family: Bacterial small subunit ribosomal RNA
Source: RNAcentral